UCAUCCACCGCCACCGCUAGAAAUUCUUCUUCCUCAGGAGUUCGUCUUCCUCACGGGUCAGCCACCAAAAGCCGCCUUCAUCUCCAUCGAUACACCAUCAACCUCUCGUCAACCACACUCCCAACACGCCACCUUCGUGCCUGAACCUCCAUAAACCUUGUCAGACCUGCGAACAAACCCAUCGCUGCGGAUAUCACCAUAUUCGUCUUCCUCGCAUCAACACCAAUCUCCUUCGAAUCUCCAUCAGACCAUUCGAAACCUGCAAGAAAAAACAUAAUCACAGAGUCAUUAGCAUAUACUAAAACCCUAACGAACCCUCUCCAGUGCACUCUUCUGCCAUGGCCCUUCUUCUCCGUCUCAAUCGUCGGAGGGCAACCAGCUCUCGCACCCUCUUCUUCUCUACUUCGAAUUCCGAUUCUAACUCCGACUCCAACUCUCCCUUCUCUUCCCUUUUCAUAGAUGUCAAGGAAAGUCUCAAACAACCCUCUUCACCUUCCUCAAACCCUCGCUCCCAACCACCCUUCGCAAACGAGAUCCUAAAAAACCUCAGCGAGUUCGGCGCCAAGACCGGUCCACCUCCGCCGGGCGACCCGUCGCAGCAGCAACAGCAAUUCUCGUUCCAGCAAAUCUACCAGCGCCAGACCGUGCAGGGGAAUCCCCCCAGAUCGGGAGAAUCGUCCUCCCCCAGCAUGGAAUCCAUUUUCGGGAGCCUGCGGAACUUGUCUGUUGCCCAAACCCCGGUGUCGCAGGCUCCUCCAAUUUCUUUUGUUAGUGUUCUGUGUUCAUAGAAUGAUGUUCAUUCUCGUAAAGGAUUGGUGGCAAUGGUUCAGAUGAGAAAAAGAUUACUGAAAUACCUCAGAAGAACUGAUUGGGAUUCCUAUUGCUUUGUUAUCUCUAAGCUGGGUCUUCGUGAUAAUCCUGAUCAUAGCUAUAGAUCUCGAACUAGUAUGGCAACUUAGGUUGCAUAUCUGGUGGCAGAUUAGAUGAAAGAAACCCCAACAUGAACAUAUUGGAAAGAAAACCAGCCGCACGAUGAAAAGUCGGCUGGGUUGUGCAUUUUUAUUGGGGUCAAUCAGGUAUGAACCAAACUGCUCAAGUGGCUGAAUCACUGGCUUUCAGGUCUGGUUUUUACAACUACAAUCCUCACAUCAAUUACUGAUGCAAUUUGUUAUUCCAGUUUUUGUGUACGAGGAGAUUAAUAUUCUGAUCAGUUCCUUCAAUUAUUUUAUACCGGCCUUGGGUGGAUUAUUGUUUUGUACAA
This is a non-coding RNA of Vigna umbellata (rice bean), 1261 nucleotides long. NCBI's taxonomy places the organism in Eukaryota, Viridiplantae, Streptophyta, Magnoliopsida, Fabales, Fabaceae. The record is from RefSeq and is a predicted model, not a curated record.